AGCGAACGCUAGCGGCGGGCCUAACACAUGCAAGUCGUACGAGGAGCUUCGGUUCUUCGUGGCGAACGGGUGAGUAACACGUAGGUUACGUGCCUCUUGGUGGGGAAUAACCCAGGGAAACUUGGGCUAAUUCCGCAUAUUGCCCUUCGGGGUGAAAGCCUUCGGGCGCCAGGAGAGCGGCCUGCGGCCCAUUAUUUAAUCCUUGUUGGUGAGGUAACGGCUCACCAAGGGUACGAUGGGUAGCUGGUCUGAGAGGACGACCAGCCACACUGGGACUGAGACACGGCCCAGACUCCUACGGGUGGCAG
RNAcentral lists this ribosomal RNA (308 nucleotides) under uncultured Pseudomonadota bacterium. RNAcentral describes it as "bacterial SSU rRNA". It matches the Rfam family "Bacterial small subunit ribosomal RNA", at positions 29 to 351 of the family's 1533-position model. Lineage: Bacteria; Pseudomonadati; Pseudomonadota. The record is from RNAcentral.